RNAcentral lists this ribosomal RNA (430 nucleotides) under uncultured bacterium. Its description in RNAcentral is "bacterial SSU rRNA". It matches the Rfam family "Bacterial small subunit ribosomal RNA", at positions 126 to 573 of the family's 1533-position model. The record is from RNAcentral.
CUGCCUCACACAGGGGGACAACAGCCGGAAACGGCUGCUAAUACCGCAUAACACAAGUAAUUCGCAUGAAUAACUUGCCAAAGAUUUCAUCGGUGUGAGAUGGAUCCGCGUCUGAUUAGCCAGUUGGCGGGGUAACGGCCCACCAAAGCGACGAUCAGUAGCCGACCUGAGAGGGUGACCGGCCACAUUGGGACUGAGACACGGCCCAAACUCCUACGGGAGGCAGCAGUGGGGAAUAUUGCACAAUGGGCGAAAGCCUGAUGCAGCGACGCCGCGUGAAGGAUGAAGUAUUUCGGUAUGUAAACUUCUAUCAGCAGGGAAGAAAAUGACGGUACCUGACUAAGAAGCCCCGGCUAACUACGUGCCAGCAGCCGCGGUAAUACGUAGGGGGCAAGCGUUAUCCGGAUUUACUGGGUGUAAAGGGAGCGUA